This 424-nucleotide ribosomal RNA is filed under the name Fusobacteriota bacterium. Its description in RNAcentral is "Fusobacteria bacterium partial 16S ribosomal RNA". It matches the Rfam family "Bacterial small subunit ribosomal RNA", at positions 355 to 776 of the family's 1533-position model. The record is from RNAcentral. Lineage: Bacteria; Fusobacteriati; Fusobacteriota.
UGAGGAAUAUUGGUCAAUGGCCGAGAGACUGAACCAGCCAAGUCGCGUGAAGGAUGACUGCCCUAUGGGUUGUAAACUUCUUUUACAAGGGAAUAAAAUGAGAUACGUGUAUUUUAUUGCAUGUACCUUGUGAAUAAGCAUCGGCUAACUCCGUGCCAGCAGCCGCGGUAAUACGGAGGAUGCGAGCGUUAUCCGGAUUUAUUGGGUUUAAAGGGUGCGUAGGUGGGCUGUUAAGUCAGCGGUGAAAGUUUGUCGCUUAACGAUAAAAUUGCCGUUGAAACUGGUAGUCUUGAGUAUAGAUGAAGUAGGCGGAAUGCGUGGUGGAGCGGUGAAAUGCAUAGAGAUCACGCAGAACUCCGAUUGCGAAGGCAGCUUACUAAGGUAUAACUGACACUGAAGCACGAAAGCGUGGGUAUCAAACAGG